RNAcentral lists this ribosomal RNA (494 nucleotides) under uncultured bacterium. Its description in RNAcentral is "partial 16S ribosomal RNA". It matches the Rfam family "Bacterial small subunit ribosomal RNA", at positions 28 to 507 of the family's 1533-position model. The record is from RNAcentral.
GACGAACGCUGGCGGCGUGCUUAACACAUGCAAGUCGAACGGUGAAGCGCCUUCCUUUUUGGUGGGUGUGGAUGAGUGGCGAACGGGUGAGUAACACGUGAGUAACCUGCCCCCUUCUUCUGGAUAACCGCAUGAAAGUGUGGCUAAUACGGGAUAUUCUGGGUCUGUCGCAUGAUGGGUCUGGGAAAGAUAUUGUUUCGGUGGGGGAUGGGCUCGCGGCCUAUCAGCUUGUUGGUGGGGUGAUGGCCUACCAAGGCGGUGACGGGUAGCCGGCCUGAGAGGGUGGACGGUCACACGGGGUCUGAGACACGGCCAAGACUCCUACGGGAGGCAGCAGUGGGGAAUAUUGCACAAUGGGCGCAAGCCUGAUGCAGCGACGCCGCGUGAGGGAUGGAGGCCUUCGGGUUGUGAACCUCUUUCGCCAGUGAAGCAGGCCUGCCUCGUUUGUGGGUGGGUUGACGGUAGCUGGAUAAGAAGCGCCGGCUAACUACGUG